Notothenia coriiceps (black rockcod) is the source of this 161-nucleotide long non-coding RNA. RefSeq lists it as uncharacterized. The transcript has 3 exons. The record is from RefSeq and is a predicted model, not a curated record. Lineage: Eukaryota; Metazoa; Chordata; Actinopteri; Perciformes; Nototheniidae.
AGGGAUAGGAGACCAGGUGCAUGUUGCGAACACUUAUUGUUACAGUGGAAGAAGGGGGUGGGGGUGUGGUGUCUAUAGUCAAAGAUUAAUCUCGAUUGGAGCCAAAUUUGACCCAGAGUCACCCACAACAAUUCUGCUGGACAUGUCUUCCCAGAUCUGAG